Lonchura striata (white-rumped munia) is the source of this 420-nucleotide non-coding RNA. NCBI's taxonomy places the organism in Eukaryota, Metazoa, Chordata, Aves, Passeriformes, Estrildidae. The record is from the annotation of a RefSeq genome assembly.
AUGGCCAGCGUCACCGAGCUCUGCCCGUUGUCCCUCGAGAUCCUGAACCGGCCCUUGACCGAUGGGCUCCGGGUGGCCGUGACCCUGCUGGAGUCCGGGGGGGACCUCCAGCCCCCCGGCGGGUCCCUGACCUUGGUCUGCCGAGGCUCCGGGUUGGAUUUUGGGAGUUUUGGGAUGUUUUGGAUCCGUCAGAGACCUGGGCAGGGGCUGGAAUAUGUCGCAGAUAUCAGCGGUGGUGGCAGCACUUGGUACGCGCCGUCGGUGCGGGGCCGAGCAACGAUCUCGAGGGACAACGGGCAGAGCUCGGUGACGCUGGCCAUGAGCAGCCUCAGGGACGAGGAUUCCGCCGUUUAUUUCUGCGCCAAAACUGCUUACGGUGGUGCUGGUUGGGAGACCAGGAGCCCCCUCCCCAAGGACUGA